Molecule: ribosomal RNA, 439 nt
Filed under: uncultured bacterium
Lineage: Bacteria
Description: partial 16S ribosomal RNA
Rfam family: Bacterial small subunit ribosomal RNA
Source: RNAcentral
CUACGGGUUGCAGCAGUGGGGAAUAUUGCACAAUGGGGGAAACCCUGAUGCAGCAACGCCGCGUGGAGGAUGACGCAUUUCGGUGUGUAAACUCCUUUUAUAAGGGAAGAUAAUGACGGUACCUUAUGAAUAAGCACCGGCUAACUCCGUGCCAGCAGCCGCGGUAAUACGGAGGGUGCAAGCGUUACUCGGAAUCACUGGGCGUAAAGGAUGCGUAGGCUGUCAAAUAAGUCAGGAGUGAAAUCCAACGGCUCAACCGUUGAACUGCUCUUGAAACUGUAUGACUAGAAUAUGGGAGAGGUAGAUGGAAUUGGUGGUGUAGGGGUAAAAUCCGUAGAUAUCACCAGGAAUACCGAUUGCGAAGGCGAUCUACUGGAACAUUAUUGACGCUGAGGCAUGAAAGCGUGGGGAGCAAACAGGAUUAGAUACCCUCGUAGUC